UGGGAAUAUUGGACAAUGGGGCAACCCUGAUCCAGCCAUGCCGCGUGUGUGAAGAAGGCCUUUUGGUUGUAAAGCACUUUAAGCAGGGAGGAGAGGCUAAUGGUUAAUACCCAUUAGAUUAGACGUUACCUGCAGAAUAAGUACCGGCUAACUCUGUGCCAGCAGCCGCGGUAAUACAGAGGGUGCGAGCGUUAAUCGGAAUUACUGGGCGUAAAGCGAGUGUAGGUGGCUCAUUAAGUCACAUGUGAAAUCCCCGGGCUUAACCUGGGAACUGCAUGUGAUACUGGUGGUGCUAGAAUAUGUGAGAGGGAAGUAGAAUUCCAGGUGUAGCGGUGAAAUGCGUAGAGAUCUGGAGGAAUACCGAUGACGAAGGCAGCUUCCUGGCAUAAUAUUGACACUGAGAUUCGAAAGCGUGGGUAGCAAACAGGAUUAGAUACCCUGGUAGUCCACGCCGUAAACGAUGUCUACUAGCCGUUGGGGUCCUUGAGACUUUAGUGGCGCAGUUAACGCGAUAAGUAGACCGCCUGGGGAGUACGGCCGCAAGGUUAAAAC
This 552-nucleotide ribosomal RNA is filed under the name uncultured bacterium. Its description in RNAcentral is "partial 16S ribosomal RNA". It matches the Rfam family "Bacterial small subunit ribosomal RNA", at positions 356 to 900 of the family's 1533-position model. The record is from RNAcentral.